CUCAGACCAAAGAACAGAAAAGAAGUUUAAUAAGUGGUUCCUAUGGAGAAACUGAUGCUUGAUCUACCCAGUUACCUCUGUGUUCAGUUACUGAUGGUCUGUUGCAACUUGACAGGUUCCAAAAUUAGAAAGAUGGAAAAUUCUGCUGCAAUUCUUAGGUGUCUAGCAAUCCGGCUUAUAUUGCUUUUAUCCAUUAAGAUAAUCAGAGGGAUGGAAACUCAAGUACUAUAUAUCAACUCAAAGAACCGAGAAGGGGUGACAUGCCAAGCAGCCAUGUAG
RNAcentral lists this long non-coding RNA (279 nucleotides) under Ursus thibetanus thibetanus. RNAcentral's name for it is "lncRNA (ENSUTTG00000003716.1)". The record is from RNAcentral. Lineage: Eukaryota; Metazoa; Chordata; Mammalia; Carnivora; Ursidae.